RNAcentral lists this ribosomal RNA (309 nucleotides) under uncultured bacterium. Its description in RNAcentral is "bacterial SSU rRNA". It matches the Rfam family "Bacterial small subunit ribosomal RNA", at positions 28 to 314 of the family's 1533-position model. The record is from RNAcentral.
GAUGAACGCUGGCGGCGUGCUUAACACAUGCAAGUCGAACGAAGCACUUUAACUUGAUUUCUUCGGAUUGAUUGUUUCUGUGACUGAGUGGCGACGGGUGAGUAACGCGUGGGUAACCUGCCUCAUACAGGGGGAGUAACAGUUGGAACGACUGCUAAUACCGCAUAAGCGCACAGGACCGCAUGGUCCGGUGUGAAAAACUACCGGUGGUAUGAGAUGGACCCGCGUCUGAUUAGCUAGUUGGUGAGGUAACGGCCCGACCCAAGGACGACGAUCAGUAGCCGACUUGAGAGGGUGACCGGCCACAUU